This 253-nucleotide ribosomal RNA is filed under the name uncultured prokaryote. RNAcentral describes it as "partial 16S ribosomal RNA". It matches the Rfam family "Bacterial small subunit ribosomal RNA", at positions 524 to 776 of the family's 1533-position model. The record is from RNAcentral.
GACGGAGGAUGCAAGUGUUAUCCGGAAUCACUGGGCGUAAAGCGUCUGUAGGUGGUCCAAUAAGUCAACUGUUAAAUCUUGAGGCUUAACCUCAAAAUCGCAGUCGAAACUGUUAGACUAGAGUAUAGUAGGGGUGAAGGGAAUUUCCAGUGGAGCGGUGAAAUGCGUAGAUAUUGGAAGGAACACCGAUGGCGAAGGCACUUUACUGGGCUAUUACUGACACUAAGAGACGAAAGCUAGGGGAGCAAAUAGG